RNAcentral lists this ribosomal RNA (435 nucleotides) under uncultured bacterium. RNAcentral describes it as "bacterial SSU rRNA". It matches the Rfam family "Bacterial small subunit ribosomal RNA", at positions 355 to 786 of the family's 1533-position model. The record is from RNAcentral.
UGAGGAAUAUUGGUCAAUGGGCGGGAGCCUGAACCAGCCAAGCCGCGUGAGGGAAGAAGGCCCUAUGGGUCGUAAACCUCUUUUGUCAGGGAACAAAAGCGAGUAUGUAUACUAGUCUGAGUGUACCUGAAGAAAAAGCAUCGGCUAACUCCGUGCCAGCAGCCGCGGUAAUACGGAGGAUGCGAGCGUUAUCCGGAUUUAUUGGGUUUAAAGGGUGCGUAGGCGUCGAUGCAAGUCAGCGGUAAAAUGCCCGGGGCUCAACCCCGGCGAGCCGUUGAAACUGCAGUGCUAGAGAAGGCGAGAGGUACGCGGAAUGCGCAGUGUAGCGGUGAAAUGCUUAGAUAUUGCGCAGAACUCCGAUUGCGAAGGCAGCGUACUGGCGCCUGACUGACGCUGAGGCACGAAAGCGUGGGGGAUCGAACAGGAUUAGAUACC